CAAGUCGAACGGGGUAGCAAUACCUAGUGGCGAACGGCGGAGUAAUACGUGAACAACGUGCCUUGAAGACUGGGAUAGCCAGGGGAAACCCUGAGUAAUACCGGAUGUGGCAACGAGAUGGCAUCUUCUCGUUACUAAAUGGUUUUUCGCUUUAAGAGCGGUUCACGACCUAUCAGCUAGUUGGUGAGGUAACGGCCCACCAAGGCGACGACGGGUAGGGGGUCUGAGAGGAUGAUCCCCCCGAGUGGGACUGAGACACGGCCCACACACCUACGGGUGGCAGCAGUUGGGAAUCUUGCACAAUGGGGGAAACCCUGAUGCAGCGACGCCGCGUGGAGGACGAAGGGUCUAGGCUCGUAAACUCCUUUUUUUGGGAAAGACUUAGGACGGUACCCAAAGAAUAAGCACCGGCUAACUACGUGCCAGCAGCCGCGGUAAGACGUAGGGUGCAAGCGUUGUCCGGAUUUACUGGGCGUAAAGAGCGCGUAGGCGGUCCAUUAAGUGUGAAGCUAAAUCUCCCGGCUCAACCGGGAAACUAUUUCGCAUACUGAUGGGCUGGAGUGAUGCAGAGGUGGAUAGAAUUCCCGGUGUAGCGGUGAAAUCCGUUGAUAUCGGGAGGAAUACCCGUGGCGAAGGCGGUCCACUGGGCAUCAACUGACGCUGAGGCGCGAAAGCGUGGGUAGCAAACAGGAUUAGAUACCCUGGUAGUCCACGCCCUAAACGAUGGAUGCUAGGCGUAGGAGGUAUCGACCCCUCCUGUGCCGCANCUAACGCACUAAGCAUCCCGCCUGGGGACUACNGCCGCAAGGUUGAAACUCAAAUGAAUUGACGGGGACCCGCACAAGCGGUGGAGCAUGUGGAUUAAUUCGAUACUAACCGAAGAACCUUACCCAGGUUUGACAUCGAGGGUAAGCCUAUGAAAGUAGGCCCUCUCCACAAG
This 940-nucleotide ribosomal RNA is filed under the name uncultured Bacillota bacterium. Its description in RNAcentral is "bacterial SSU rRNA". It matches the Rfam family "Bacterial small subunit ribosomal RNA", at positions 58 to 1023 of the family's 1533-position model. Lineage: Bacteria; Bacillati; Bacillota. The record is from RNAcentral.